This 61-nucleotide microRNA precursor is filed under the name Callorhinchus milii (elephant shark). Its description in RNAcentral is "Cmi-Mir-181-P2c_pre stem-loop". It matches the Rfam family "mir-181 microRNA precursor family", at positions 12 to 72 of the family's 83-position model. From Rfam's summary of the family: In this case the mature sequence comes from the 5' arm of the precursor. The extents of the hairpin precursors are not generally known and are estimated based on hairpin prediction. Lineage: Eukaryota; Metazoa; Chordata; Chondrichthyes; Chimaeriformes; Callorhinchidae. The record is from RNAcentral.
AACAUUCAUUGCUGUCGGUGGGUUGUGAAUUGUUAGAAAACUCGCUGACCAAUGAAUGGAA